CCUUUCAGAGCCUUCCAUGCCGAGUGAGGUUAGGGACCGCGGAAAGGGUAUCGCCUCAAGUUAGCUAGCUGGCGAGGGACUUAUUGAUAGACGCCUUAUAUGUGCAGGCAUAUGGUGGGUCUGGGCACGUACCGGGCGGACCUAUGCUGGGUCCCGGGGCAUGACAGUUACAAGCAUAUGAAUGGCAUACAUCAUGAGCAUAGUGGUUACUUCAUUCAUACCAUGUUGUUGAGGCAUAGUAGCAUGACCUAGCACGAGCGACGCAGUCGAGGAUCGUGGUAAGGGCAUAGCGCCCUAGGUAGCGGACUUUCCUUGCAUUAGCUUACCUUGUAUGUACUAUGUGAGGGCUAUGUUGUAUUUUGGAAAGAACAUGUAGUGAGGACAAGAUGUAUAAACUCAAGUUAUACUUUUGGUGAAUUGUAA
Molecule: long non-coding RNA, 423 nt
Organism: Ananas comosus (pineapple)
Lineage: Eukaryota; Viridiplantae; Streptophyta; Magnoliopsida; Poales; Bromeliaceae
Exons: 3
Source: RefSeq, a predicted model, not a curated record